This 28-nucleotide non-coding RNA is filed under the name Cricetulus griseus (Chinese hamster). Lineage: Eukaryota; Metazoa; Chordata; Mammalia; Rodentia; Cricetidae. The record is from RNAcentral.
AAGAACGGUUCUGUAUAUGUGAGUGAGU